This 484-nucleotide ribosomal RNA is filed under the name uncultured bacterium. Its description in RNAcentral is "partial 16S ribosomal RNA". It matches the Rfam family "Bacterial small subunit ribosomal RNA", at positions 30 to 507 of the family's 1533-position model. The record is from RNAcentral.
AUUGAACGCUGGCGGCAUGCUUUACACAUGCAAGUCGAACGGCAGCGCGGGCUUCGGCCUGGCGGCGAGUGGCGAACGGGUGAGUAAUACAUCGGAACGUGCCCAGUAGUGGGGGAUAGCUCGGCGAAAGCCGGAUUAAUACCGCAUACGACCUGAUGGUGAAAGCGGGGGAUCUUCGGACCUCGCGCUAUUUGAGCGGCCGAUGGCAGAUUAGCUAGUUGGUGGGGUAAAGGCCUACCAAGGCGACGAUCUGUAGCUGGUCUGAGAGGACGACCAGCCACACUGGGACUGAGACACGGCCCAGACUCCUACGGGAGGCAGCAGUGGGGAAUUUUGGACAAUGGGCGAAAGCCUGAUCCAGCAAUGCCGCGUGUGUGAUGAAGGCCUUCGGGUUGUAAAGCACUUUUGGCGGGAACGAAAAGGACUGUGCCAAUACCACGGUUCGAUGACGGUACCCGCAGAAUAAGCACCGGCUAACUACGUG